This 484-nucleotide ribosomal RNA is filed under the name uncultured bacterium. RNAcentral describes it as "partial 16S ribosomal RNA". It matches the Rfam family "Bacterial small subunit ribosomal RNA", at positions 28 to 507 of the family's 1533-position model. The record is from RNAcentral.
AUUGAACGCUGGCGGCAUGCUUUACACAUGCAAGUCGAACGGCAGCGCGGGCUUCGGCCUGGCGGCGAGUGGCGAACGGGUGAGUAAUGCAUCGGAACGUGCCCAGUAGUGGGGGAUAGCCCGGCGAAAGCCGGAUUAAUACCGCAUACGACCUGAGGGUGAAAGCGGGGGACCGAAAGGCCUCGCGCUAUUGGAGCGGCCGAUGUCGGAUUAGCUAGUUGGUGGGGUAAAGGCUUACCAAGGCGACGAUCCGUAGCUGGGCGGAGAGGACGACCAGCCACACUGGGACUGAGACACGGCCCAGACUCCUACGGGAGGCAGCAGUGGGGAAUUUUGGACAAUGGGGGCAACCCUGAUCCAGCCAUGCCGCGUGCGGGAAGAAGGCCUUCGGGUUGUAAACCGCUUUUGUUCGGGAAGAAAUCCUCUGGGCUAAUACCCCGGGGGGAUGACGGUACCGGAAGAAUAAGCACCGGCUAACUACGUG